Molecule: ribosomal RNA, 400 nt
Filed under: uncultured bacterium
Lineage: Bacteria
Description: bacterial SSU rRNA
Rfam family: Bacterial small subunit ribosomal RNA
Source: RNAcentral
GGGGAAUAUUGGACAAUGGGCGCAAGCCUGAUCCAGCCAUGCCGCGUGAGUGAUGAAGGCCUUAGGGUUGUAAAGCUCUUUCACCGAUGAAGAUAAUGACGGUAGUCGGAGAAGAAGCCCCGGCUAACUUCGUGCCAGCAGCCGCGGUAAUACGAAGGGGGCUAGCGUUGUUCGGAUUUACUGGGCGUAAAGCGCACGUAGGCGGAUUGGUCAGUUAGAGGUGAAAUCCCGAAGCUCAACUUCGGAACUGCCUUUAAUACUGCCAGUCUCGAGUCCGGAAGAGGUAAGUGGAACUCCUAGUGUAGAGGUGGAAUUCGUAGAUAUUAGGAAGAACACCAGUGGCGAAGGCGGCUUACUGGUCCGGAACUGACGCUGAGGUGCGAAAGCGUGGGGAGCAAAC